This 456-nucleotide ribosomal RNA is filed under the name uncultured bacterium. RNAcentral describes it as "partial 16S ribosomal RNA". It matches the Rfam family "Bacterial small subunit ribosomal RNA", at positions 28 to 523 of the family's 1533-position model. The record is from RNAcentral.
GAUGAACGCUGGCGGCGUGCCUAAUACAUGCAAGUCGAACGAAGCCUUCGGGCUUAGUGGCGGACGGGUGAGUAACACGUUGGUACCUGCCUCGAAGUGGGGAAUAACUGGCCGAAAGGUCGGCUAAUACCGCAUGUGAUCGCAAGAUCAAAGUCGUAAGACGCUUCGAGAGGGGCCUGCGUCCCAUUAGCUAGUUGGUAGGGUAAUGGCCUACCAAGGCGACGAUGGGUAGCUGGAUCGAGAGGUUGACCAGCCACACUGGGACUGAGAUACGGCCCAGACUCCUACGGGAGGCAGCAGUAAGGAAUCUUCCACAAUGGACGAAAGUCUGAUGGAGCAACGCCGCGUGCAGGAUGACGGCCUUCGGGUUGUAAACCUCUUUUAGUAGGGAAGAAGCGAAAGUGACGGUACCUGCAGAAAAAGCACCGGCUAACUACGUGCCAGCCGCCGCCGUAA